Molecule: ribosomal RNA, 253 nt
Filed under: uncultured bacterium
Lineage: Bacteria
Description: partial 16S ribosomal RNA
Rfam family: Bacterial small subunit ribosomal RNA
Source: RNAcentral
UACGUAGGGCGCAAGCGUUAUCCGGAAUUAUUGGGCGUAAAGAGCUCGUAGGCGGUUUGUCGCGUCUGUCGUGAAAGUCCGGGGCUUAACUCCGGAUCUGCGGUGGGUACGGGCAGACUAGAGUGCAGUAGGGGAGACUGGAAUUCCUGGUGUAGCGGUGAAAUGCGCAGAUAUCAGGAGGAACACCGAUGGCGAAGGCAGGUCUCUGGGCUGUAACUGACGCUGAGGAGCGAAAGCAUGGGGAGCGAACAGG